RNAcentral lists this small nucleolar RNA (101 nucleotides) under Musa acuminata subsp. malaccensis (wild Malaysian banana). Its description in RNAcentral is "Small nucleolar RNA Z103". It matches the Rfam family "Small nucleolar RNA Z103". Rfam says of the family: This family consists of several snoRNA Z103 sequences which are members of the C/D class of snoRNA which contain the C (UGAUGA) and D (CUGA) box motifs. This family seems to be found exclusively in plants. C/D box small nucleolar RNAs are known to act as a methylation guides for 18S ribosomal RNA. Lineage: Eukaryota; Viridiplantae; Streptophyta; Magnoliopsida; Zingiberales; Musaceae. The record is from Rfam by way of RNAcentral.
AUUAAGAUAACGAGUGUUUCCCAAGAUGAUCGAUCAUGAACACACUAUGAACUAUUCUUUUCUCCACUAAGAAUAGAAGAAGAUCAAGCCAUACCUUUAAU